RNAcentral lists this ribosomal RNA (2879 nucleotides) under Klebsiella pneumoniae. RNAcentral's name for it is "bacterial LSU rRNA". It matches the Rfam family "Bacterial large subunit ribosomal RNA". The record is from RNAcentral. Lineage: Bacteria; Pseudomonadati; Pseudomonadota; Gammaproteobacteria; Enterobacterales; Enterobacteriaceae.
UUAAGCGACUAAGCGUACACGGUGGAUGCCCUGGCAGUCAGAGGCGAUGAAGGACGUGCUAAUCUGCGAAAAGCGUCGGUAAGGUGAUAUGAACCGUUAUAACCGGCGAUGUCCGAAUGGGGAAACCCAGUGCAAUUCGUUGCACUAUCGUUAACUGAAUACAUAGGUUAACGAGGCGAACCGGGGAACUGAAACAUCUAAGUACCCCGAGGAAAAGAAAUCAACCGAGAUUCCCCAGUAGCGGCGAGCGAACGGGGAGCAGCCCAGAGUCUGAAUCAGCUUGUGUGUUAGUGGAACGGUCUGGAAAGUCCGACGGUACAGGGUGAUAGUCCCGUACACCAAAAUGCACAGGCUGUGAACUCGAAGAGUAGGGCGGGACACGUGGUAUCCUGUCUGAAUAUGGGGACCAUCCUCCAGGCUAAAUACUCCUGACUGACCGAUAGUGAACCAGUACCGUGAGGGAAAGGCGAAAAGAACCCCGGCGAGGGGAGUGAAAAGAACCUGAAACCGUGUACGUACAAGCAGUGGGAGCACCUUCGGGUGUGACUGCGUACCUUUGUAUAAUGGGUCAGCGACUUAUAUUCUGUAGCAAGGUUAACCGUAUAGGGGAGCCGCAGGGAAACCGAGUCUUAACUGGGCGUUAAGUUGCAGGGUAUAGACCCGAAACCCGGUGAUCUCAGCCAUGGGCAGGUUGAAGGUUGGGUAACACUAACUGGAGGACCGAACCGACUAAUGUUGAAAAAUUAGCGGAUGACUUGUGGCUGGGGUGAAAGGCCAAUCAAACCGGGAGAUAGCUGGUUCUCCCCGAAAGCUAUUUAGGUAGCGCCUCGUGAACUCAUCUUCGGGGUAGAGCACUGUUUCGGCUAGGGGUCAUCCCGACUUACCAACCCGAUGCAAACUACGAAUACCGAAGAAUGUUAUCACGGGAGACACACGGCGGGUGCUAACGUCCGUCGUGAAGAGGGAAACAACCCAGACCGCCAGCUAAGGUCCCAAAGUCAUGGUUAAGUGGAAACGAUGUGGGAAGGCACAGACAGCCGUGAUGUUGGCUUAGAAGCAGCCAUCAUUUAAAGAAAGCGUAAUAGCUCACUGGUCGAGUCGGCCUGCGCGGAAGAUGUAACGGGCUAAACCAUGCACCGAAGCUGCGGCAGCGACACUAUGUGUUGUUGGGUAGGGAGCGUUCUGUAAGCCUGCGAAGGUGUGCUGUGAGGCAUGCUGGAGGUAUCAGAAGUGCGAAUGCUGACAUAAGUAACGAUAAAGCGGGUGAAAAGCCCGCUCGCCGGAAGACCAAGGGUUCCUGUCCAACGUUAAUCGGGGCAGGGUGAGUCGACCCUAAGGCGAGGCCGAAAGGCGUAGUCGAUGGGAAACAGGUUAAUAUUCCUGUACUUGGUGUUACUGCGAAGGGGACGGAGAAGGCUAUGUUAGCCGGGCGACGGUUGUCCCGGUUUAAGCAUGUAGGCUGGUUAUCCGUGCAAAUCCGGAUAAUCAAGGCUGAGGUGUGAUGACGAGGCACUACGGUGCUGAAGUAACAAAUGCCCUGCUUCCGUGAAAAGCCUCUAAGCAUCAGGUAACAUCAAAUCGUACCCCAAACCGACACAGGUGGUCAGGUAGAGAAUACCAAGGCGCUUGAGAGAACUCGGGUGAAGGAACUAGGCAAAAUGGUGCCGUAACUUCGGGAGAAGGCACGCUGGUGUGUAGGUGAAGCCCCUGCGGGUGGAGCUGAGACCAGUCGAAGAUACCAGCUGGCUGCAACUGUUUAUUAAAACACAGCACUGUGCAAACACGAAAGUGGACGUAUACGGUGUGACGCCUGCCCGGUGCCGGAAGGUUAAUUGAUGGGGUUAUCCGUAAGGAGAAGCUCUUGAUCGAAGCCCCGGUAAACGGCGGCCGUAACUAUAACGGUCCUAAGGUAGCGAAAUUCCUUGUCGGGUAAGUUCCGACCUGCACGAAUGGCGUAAUGAUGGCCGCUGUCUCCACCCGAGACUCAGUGAAAUUGAACUCGCUGUGAAGAUGCAGUGUACCCGCGGCAAGACGGAAAGACCCCGUGAACCUUUACUAUAGCUUGACACUGAACAUUGAGCCUUGAUGUGUAGGAUAGGUGGGAGGCUUUGAAGCGUGGACGCCAGUCUGCGUGGAGCCAACCUUGAAAUACCACCCUUUAAUGUUUGAUGUUCUAACGUUGGCCCCUGACCGGGGUUGCGGACAGUGUCUGGUGGGUAGUUUGACUGGGGCGGUCUCCUCCCAAAGCGUAACGGAGGAGCACGAAGGUUAGCUAAUCCGGUCGGACAUCAGGAGGUUAGUGCAAUGGCAUAAGCUAGCUUGACUGCGAGCGUGACGGCGCGAGCAGGUGCGAAAGCAGGUCAUAGUGAUCCGGUGGUUCUGAAUGGAAGGGCCAUCGCUCAACGGAUAAAAGGUACUCCGGGGAUAACAGGCUGAUACCGCCCAAGAGUUCAUAUCGACGGCGGUGUUUGGCACCUCGAUGUCGGCUCAUCACAUCCUGGGGCUGAAGUAGGUCCCAAGGGUAUGGCUGUUCGCCAUUUAAAGUGGUACGCGAGCUGGGUUUAGAACGUCGUGAGACAGUUCGGUCCCUAUCUGCCGUGGGCGCUGGAGAAUUGAGGGGGCUGCUCCUAGUACGAGAGGACCGGAGUGGACGCAUCACUGGUGUUCGGGUUGUCAUGCCAAUGGCACUGCCCGGUAGCUAAAUGCGGAAGAGAUAAGUGCUGAAAGCAUCUAAGCACGAAACUUGCCCCGAGAUGAGUUCUCCCUGAGACUUUAAGUCUCCUGAAGGAACGUUAAAGACGAUGACGUUGAUAGGCCGGGUGUGUAAGCGCAGCGAUGCGUUGAGCUAACCGGUACUAAUGAACCGUGAGGCUUAACCU